AUGUGGAAACUGAGGCAUAGAAAGUCAAGUAACCUGCUCAAUGUCACAAUGAGCUAAAGCCAGGAUUUGAACUCAGACGGUUUGACUUCAGGGUCUACACAAUUUGCCACCGUUAUCCUCACUUUUGUUAAUAGUUAUACAUCAACUGGCCGAAGGGGUGUGGUUGACCUCAGAAAACACUGGUUUCUUCAACGUGUAAAGGAUAUUUUCUAGUUCAGAAGAAACUUUUUGUUAUUUACAAAGAUGCACGUACUCACUUCUGAGAAGAAGCUUUCAGGCACAGGACGUACACUUGACAACGAGUGAGAGUCUGCUCCUGAUGUGUCAGAACUCACAGUUAGAUGGGGAAGAAAGGCAUGUAGACAAAACAGUGUAGUGCGGGCAGAAUGUGGUGAGUAUUAUUAUGGGUCUUGAAAACAAGAGGCAAAAGAACGUUUUGUCUGGGGUCACUGAGGAAGGCAGCACAAAGAAAAAGGGACUUUCAUGCAAUAAUGAGAGGAAGGAAGAAGACACCAAAGGAAACCUG
This 526-nucleotide long non-coding RNA is filed under the name Equus caballus (horse). RNAcentral's name for it is "lncRNA (ENSECAG00000050424.1)". The record is from RNAcentral. Lineage: Eukaryota; Metazoa; Chordata; Mammalia; Perissodactyla; Equidae.